This is a long non-coding RNA of Solea senegalensis (Senegalese sole), 1225 nucleotides long. RefSeq lists it as uncharacterized. The record is from RefSeq and is a predicted model, not a curated record. The transcript is spliced from 2 exons. NCBI's taxonomy places the organism in Eukaryota, Metazoa, Chordata, Actinopteri, Pleuronectiformes, Soleidae.
AAAUAUGUGUGAAGAAUUGCGAAAAGAAUCAGGAAGGUGGUUGUCGUGACGUCAGAGUGCACAGUAAAGCAGGUCCAGAGCAGAGAUGGUGGGCUCUUCAGGUUUCUUGAUCUCUGGUUUGGGCAGCUUGAUGCGACUCAUUGCAACGACACCACAGACAGCAAAGUGAGUCCCAAUGCUGCCCACACCCAGCCAGAAGGACCAGUCCAGUUUGUCGUCCAGGACAACGAGGACGAAGAGGUUCUCUUGGUAGUUUGCUACCCGCUCAGUCAGACUGUGGUGUCUCAUGGCUGCCAGGAAACACAAAACACCCAGAGCACCAAAAAGAGCUGGAGACAGGAGUGAGGGAGAGGUUAGCAAAGCCAGAAUACAACAACCAAUUACCAAGAAUUAGGAUAAACGUUGAUAUUUGAGGGCAAAGUGAAGAAUCCCCUCACAUACCAGCAAUUAGGUUCCACAGAUAGAGUCCUUUGUGGCCCUUGAUACUCUGGUAGGGAACCCUACGUGCAUUGUAAAUACAGAAAGACAGACUGACGAGAGCAAAGCCAAUGGCCACCAGCAAGAAGAGGAUCACCAUCAUAUGAAGGCCACUGUUCAAUGUCCGCACGAGCUUUGGGAAAACUGAAUAUUCAGAGAAAAACACACAUCAUCAGCCCUGUGAGCAGAUUUGUGUGAGUAAAGAUGAAGAAGGAAAACAUCAGCCGACAGAUUCAUAUUAGUCAUUAAAGCACCCUGAAACAGGACAUUAGCAGAACAGGAGGGUUUGUUGACCUUUCUCUUUUUUGAUCUUUGUUUUGAAAUCUGAUCAUGUGAUUGUAUGUAUGUAUGUUUACAUGGGUGGUUUGUAGCCAUGUGUUUUGUCUUCAAUGUGUUACUUGUGAGAAUCCACAUUGUUAUACUAAUUGUUUUAGUUUGUCAAUUUGUAUGUAGUUUAGCUAUAUUAUAUAUUAAAAAAAUUAUAAGUAUAUAAAAGUAUUAUAACAGAUUAAGUGAGCAUACAAAAACAUUAGCUAUUUUAGUUGUAAUUCUGUUAAUUACAUAGAGUUUUUACUCGUUGAAUAGCUUUAAGGACUGAAAACCUUUGGUACACUAACAUAUACAGUACAAUGACAUUAACGCAAAUAAUGGGGGAACUGCGUGUCUUAUUCAUUAUUUGUAUACUAGGUUUAAAAACGAUGUUUAAUCCAUCAUCAGGUUUGUGUAUAGAAUAAAGUAUUUAAGCUUA